UUUACUUUGGGUCCUUUCAAAUCCAGGUCAACAUCAGGUAUGGAGAUCUUGGGAGCUUUGAUAUUUAUUUCAGGCAUCUUGAACUUGGGGCCCUUUAGUUUCGCAUCUGGACCUUCGAUAUUCACAUCAGGAACAUCAACGUCCACUUUGGGUCCUGAGACAUCAAUGUCAGCCUUGGGCAGGUUCACAUCCACAUCUGGGCCCUCUCCUUUGAAGCCAGGCAUGCUGAACUUGGGCAUUUUCACCUUGGGCAUCUUCAGGUGCCAGUCUGGGCCUUGAACAUCAACAUCUGGAGCAUUAAUGUCCACUUUGGGGCCCUUGAUGUCAACUUCAGGACCCUUGAGGUCACCUUCCAUUUUGGGCAGAGAAACAUCCACAUCGCCCUUGACUUUGGGGCCCUUCAGGGCCCUUGAGGUCACCUUCCACUUUGGGCAGAGAAAUAUCCACAUCGCCCUUCACCUUGGGACCUUUCAGAUGCAAAUCAAAGUCAGGCAUGGGGAUCU
RNAcentral lists this long non-coding RNA (503 nucleotides) under Homo sapiens (human). RNAcentral's name for it is "HSALNT0176009". The record is from RNAcentral. Lineage: Eukaryota; Metazoa; Chordata; Mammalia; Primates; Hominidae.